RNAcentral lists this ribosomal RNA (162 nucleotides) under uncultured bacterium. RNAcentral's name for it is "partial 16S ribosomal RNA". It matches the Rfam family "Bacterial small subunit ribosomal RNA", at positions 355 to 509 of the family's 1533-position model. The record is from RNAcentral.
UAGGGAAUUUUCGUCAAUGGGCGCAAGCCUGAACGAGCAAUGCCGCGUGAGUGAGGAAGGUCUUCGGAUCGUAAAGCUCUGUUGCGGGGGAAAAAGGAAGCAGAAAGGAAAUGGUCUUCUUUUGAUGGUACCCCGCCAGAAAGUCACGGCUAACUACGUGCC